GUCUAAGUACAUACCUUAAAACGUCGAAACCGCGAAUGGCUCAUUAAAUCAACUAUGGUUCCUUAGAUCGUAAACGCUACAUGGAUAACUGUAGUAAUUCUUGAGCUAAUACAUGCCUUGAAUCCCUGACCCUCAAGGGGACGGGUGCAUUUAUUAGAACAGAACCAACCGGGUGCGGCUUUGGCUGUGCCUGUUACAUUCUGUGAUGACCCUGGAUAACUUUACUCAUCGCAGUCGACCUUGUGUCGGUGACGGAUCUUUCAAAUGUCUGCCCUACCAAUUUGUUGGUAGGUGAUUUACCUACCAUGAUGAUAACGGGUAACGGGGAAUCAGGGUUCCAUUGUU
RNAcentral lists this non-coding RNA (345 nucleotides) under Schistosoma mansoni. Its description in RNAcentral is "Eukaryotic small subunit ribosomal RNA". It matches the Rfam family "Eukaryotic small subunit ribosomal RNA", at positions 57 to 383 of the family's 1831-position model. Lineage: Eukaryota; Metazoa; Platyhelminthes; Trematoda; Strigeidida; Schistosomatidae. The record is from Rfam by way of RNAcentral.